ACCGCGGUAGCCAAGUUGGUUAGGGCGUCGUCGGCAGUACUGAUGCCGAAGGUCGCAUGUUCAAAUCGUGCCUGCGGUG
Phthorimaea operculella (potato tuberworm) is the source of this 79-nucleotide non-coding RNA. The record is from the annotation of a GenBank genome assembly. NCBI's taxonomy places the organism in Eukaryota, Metazoa, Arthropoda, Insecta, Lepidoptera, Gelechiidae.